GACGUAGGGUGCGAGCGUUGUCCGGAUUUAUUGGGCGUAAAGAGCUCGUAGGCGGCUCGUCGCGUCAGCUGUGAAAACCCGCAGCUUAACUGUGGGCUUGCAGCUGAUACGGGCGGGCUAGAGUUCGGUAGGGGAGACUGGAAUUCCACGUGUAGCAGUGAAAUGCGUAGAGAUGUGGAGGAACACCGAUGGCGAAGGCAGCCCCCUGGGCUAAGAUUGACGCUCAGGCACGAAAGCGUGGGGAGCAAACAGG
This 253-nucleotide ribosomal RNA is filed under the name uncultured bacterium. RNAcentral describes it as "partial 16S ribosomal RNA". It matches the Rfam family "Bacterial small subunit ribosomal RNA", at positions 524 to 776 of the family's 1533-position model. The record is from RNAcentral.